Molecule: ribosomal RNA, 754 nt
Filed under: uncultured eukaryote
Lineage: Eukaryota
Description: bacterial SSU rRNA
Rfam family: Eukaryotic small subunit ribosomal RNA
Source: RNAcentral
AGCCCCCACAGGUGAAAUUCUAGGACUAGCUGACGUUUAACACUCGAGAAAGCAUUCAGCAAGGAUUCUCUUCGCAUCAAGCACGCAAGGAAGGGCAUCGACGUCGAUCAGAUGCAGUAGUAGUGUCCACCAUCAUUCACACGCGCUAGCGAGGAGAGACGGGCGCAUCAUCCCAGUCAUUCGCACACGAUGAGAAAUCAAAGUCCAAUGGUUCCUGGGGGAGUAGAGUUGCAAGGCUGAAGGUUAAAGGAACCGGAGGAAGCGUACCACCAAGAGUGGAGCAGGGAGUUUAAUUGGACUCAUCACAAGAACCAGACCCAGGUCCACCCGCAGUAAGGAUUGACAUCAGACGAUCCUUGUUCUUGAGUGGGUAAUGGUGCAUGGCCGUUCUUCCUGGGAGAGUGUUUUGUUUUCUCAGGUUCCCUAUCGAGAGUGGCCUCGUCAUUCUCAAUCGUUCGUCAAAGGCUUGGUAGUUCACUACAGUUUCGUAGAGGGAUGAUAGGGCAGUAACCGGAAGAAGUUGUCGCCAGUGACAAGUCGUGGAAUCCGUUAGAGGUUCUGGGCAUCACCCAAGGAGCAGUGACGCACUCAUCAAGUUAAUAUCCUAAAUACAUCCCUUCCAAAAAUUUGGGCCACAUGCCUCGUAUUGGGUAUAGAAUAUCGUAGGGUAUAAUAUUUAGUAGAGGAAUUAUCUAGUUAACCCAAGUCAUCAACAAGCAUUGAUUAGGUACCCUGCACCGUAUGUACAGCAUGC